Alosa sapidissima (American shad) is the source of this 713-nucleotide long non-coding RNA. RefSeq lists it as uncharacterized. The transcript has 3 exons. The record is from RefSeq and is a predicted model, not a curated record. NCBI's taxonomy places the organism in Eukaryota, Metazoa, Chordata, Actinopteri, Clupeiformes, Clupeidae.
AAACAACAUUGUGAACAAGGAAGUGUCUAUCGUAGUCUCCUCAGUGUCUAGCACAGUUUGUUCACUAACGCAUGGUCUCUAGGCAUUCAAGUGUUCAGUUUUUGUCAGUGUUUUAAGAUAGUGUGAGAUAGACGUUCAGCCUAACCCAGAAUAUGAAAUCGACGCUGAUGCUUGUGUGUGGAGUCUUUCUUUUUGGUCUUGGCGUGGCCGAAGAUAACUUCGACUAUGACUAUAACGCAACAGAUGGGUAUGGCUAUGGCUAUGGCUAUGAGGAUUGGGAAGAACUUCAGAAUGCCACAGUGCCUCCUCAAACCCCUGGAAGUAUUGGAUUAACUGCAUGCUUGCUCUUCUUCUUCUACUUCUUCUUCUGCAACUGAGAGUAGCUGCAAGAUCAUGGCACAACAUUGUCUCUUAAUCUUCUCACCACAGCCAAACCUGAGCUGCCAAGACAUUGUUUAAUCCAAAUAUUUGUAUAUGAGGAUUACUGUAAUCAGAUUUUAUACUUUGAGUAUCUGGAAUAGUUGAGGAAAUGUACAACAUGCAAACUUCCCUGGCACCUCCUCCUUAGUGUCUGAGAAACAACUUAAAUGCAGUAUGUGCUGCCCAUGCUUAAAAUAAGCAGAUCGAUCAAACUGUGUAAAUUAUAUGAUUUUGUUAUAGAUGCUGCAGGGUAUAAUAUUGUCAGGCCUGAUUGGCUGUACCUGUCUGUCAAU